RNAcentral lists this long non-coding RNA (710 nucleotides) under Medicago truncatula (barrel medic). RNAcentral describes it as "long non-coding RNA (MTRU_LNC008857)". The record is from RNAcentral. Lineage: Eukaryota; Viridiplantae; Streptophyta; Magnoliopsida; Fabales; Fabaceae.
AGAUGCACAAGCCAUGGCUGAGAAAAAAAGUGAUGGACUGGUCAAAGAUAGAAAGGGCAGACAGCUCAAGGUCACUGAGGAGAAAGAGGGACCUGAAGAAUCAGAUUCACAAGUAGGGGUAUGACUCACUAGUAGGAGUUUAGCUUCUAUUGCAUUUGGUUUUUUGAUAUUAAUUUGUUUUCUUUGCUUCACCUGAAACUGUAAUUACAUGCUUUAUUUUUUUCUUAUCUAUCUAUAUAUCUAUAUCACUAUGCAGAUGGAGCUGAAAAAGAAACCGAUGAAAGAUGCACAAGCCAAGGCUGAGGAAAAAAGUGAUGGACUGGUCAAAGAUAGAAAGGGCAGACAGCUCAAGGUCACUGAGGAGAAAGAGGGACCUGAAGAAUCAGUUUCACAAGUAGGGGUAUGACUCAAUAGUAGUGGUUUAACUUCUAUUGCAUUUGGUUUUUGAAUAUUAAUUUGUUUUCUUUGCUUCACCUGAAACUGUAAUUACAUGCUUUAUUUUUUUUCUUAUCUAUCUAUAUCUAUCUAUAUAUCUAUAUCAUGUUAAGUUUGCUACAACUUAACCAAACCCUAAUCCUCUUAAUCCAUGUUUUCCCUCCCUAAUCAUCCUUAAUCCACAUCAUUCAUUGAUAAGUUAUGCAUAAGUCUCAUUUCAUUUGUUUUGUGGUUAGCUUAAGUAUAUUAAGUGGCUAAAUUACAGUUUUUUUCUU